CCUACGGGUGGCAGCAGUGGGGAAUAUUGCACAAUGGGGGAAACCCUGAUGCAGCGACGCCGCGUGAGUGAAGAAGUAUUUCGGUAUGUAAAGCUCUAUUAGCAGGGACGAAAAUGAUGGUACCUGCUUAAGAAGCACCGGCUAACUACGUGCCAGCAGCCGCGGUAAUACGUCGGGGGCAAGCGUUAUUCGGAGUUACUGGGUGUAAAGGGAGCGUAGUCGGCAGCACAAGUCUGGAGUGAAAUGCCGGGGCUUAACCCCGGAACUGCUUUUGAAACUGUGCAGCUAGUGUGCAGGAGAGGUAAGUGGAAUGCCUAGUGUAGCGGUGAAAUGCGUAGAUAUUAGGAGGAACACCAGUGGCGAAGGCGGCUUACUGGACUGUAACUGACGUUGAGGCGCGAAAGCGUGGGGAGCAAACAGGAUUAGAUACCCUAGUAGUC
This 440-nucleotide ribosomal RNA is filed under the name uncultured bacterium. RNAcentral's name for it is "partial 16S ribosomal RNA". It matches the Rfam family "Bacterial small subunit ribosomal RNA", at positions 338 to 795 of the family's 1533-position model. The record is from RNAcentral.